GUAGCUUUGUGUCUAUGGAAGUCCCUUGGAUGGAUCCCAGACCGACCCAUGGAUCCCAUGACCUUUCCUUGCCUGUGACUGUUGGUGACCCCUCUGAUGUCUGCGCUGCCUGCGCUGUGGCUGCCCUCAGUUCCUGCCUCAUUCCUUGCUUGGUGCACCUCCAGGUUUGCUCCCUGACAGCAGCAGCCGAAAUUUGGGCAGGCUUUGCCCAUGUACCCCUUGAGCAGCUGGACUGCGCUGUGUCCAUGCCCCUCACUCCCAUCCCUAGACCUGUGACUGAGUGCGGGCAGUCUGGCCCUGUUUCUUUCUCCCAUCCCGAGCCCCGGUGCUGCAAUGUUGCCUGAAGCGGGGUGCUGGGGGAGAACCGAGGGGGAUCAGGAGCUGCGCUCACCCUCCUGGAACCGGGAGGGAGGGUGCUGUUCCUGUUGACAACGGGGUUCGCUCCGAGCAGAAGGGAGGCGGUGGGAGGCCGGGCCGGGCCGGGCCGGGCGGUGCAGCCCGGGAAGCGGGGGAAGCGGUUCCCGGCCGGGGCUCUCCCUCACCUGCCCCCGGCUCUGCAGGGAAGGGCAGGGGGCGCUUCGCCCCCCGCCUACGCCGGCUCUUUCUGCCGCUCGCCGCUCGCCGUAGCCGGGGGAGAGCUAGGUUAUGCCAUUGGCCUUUUAAGAGAAGCAGCUGCCUCACUGCUCCAGUGCCAGGUUCAUCACAGUGCUGUCCAUAUCCUCAGCCAUGGUGACCACUCAGAUCCUCCUGCACUGGAGCACUGCUGUGUGCACUCAUGGGAUGCCAGGUCAUUCCCGCUCUGAUCCCUUCUUGCAUCUUCCAUUUCUCCGUGUGACAGUGAUGGUUCCAGACAGCAUGGGACUGCCAGCUUUUUGGAUUGGAGAAGUGCAUGCUCCACGUGGCUCUGAAUACCUACUGUUCCUGCAAAACCUGGAGCAGUCUUGGUGCCUACAGAAAUCAGACCAGAUGUGCUCUCCUGGGAGCAGGGGGAGCCAGAUGCUGCAGACAGGUAACAUGACCAGCAACAGGUACUGCAGGAUACUGCUGCAGCUUCCUAGUCCUAGUACUACCCUCACAGAUACCAAGUGGCAUCCAUCAGGAUCUGAAUGUUCCUGUGUUGGGCAGCUGAGAAGAGAUGGCAGUGGAAGCCAGAGGUGGCCUCUCUCCAGUUUCAUAAGUACUGAUGACCACAUUUUCUUCCUGUGUCUGUUGAAGGCAAUGACCACUAUAUCUGCUCCAAAACAGCUCCCCAUGGACAGAUACAGGGAGCUUCUAAUGACAAAGAGGAAUUUGAUGUUCAUACACAAUAUGCUGGCAUGUAAACCCACCAAGGAUGACCAGAAGAAAUGGUACCUGACUGUCUUCAUAAAUUUCCUCAAGUGCCUGGAGCUGUGGAACACUGGAUGGCUGUGAGCAGAAGAGUCUGACCUGUGUCACCUGCUCGUGCCACAGUUGCCUUGCACCAAGAUCCAGCAAAAGGACAUCAAGGACCUGUUCCCCAAACCAGCAGGGGAUCUAACGAGCAGCAAGUGGCAUGGCUGGGCUUGCAUGAGAACUAGGACAGCCCUGGGAUCUGGCUUGGCUUUGGGUCCUGGUUACCUGGAGCGUAAGGCUGUGAGGAGCUCUGGGGCUUUCUUGAGCUCCUCAGGGAGGAGACAAGCACUACUGAGUUGCUUCUUUAUCUUUUUUUUUUUUUUUUUUUUUUUUUUUUUUUUUUUUUUCUUUUUUGUCUAUGAGCAUCUUUAGCAGCUGUUUCUCACCAUUUUCUUCACCUUUAUAUCAACUUACUUGAAUGUUUUCAUA
Molecule: long non-coding RNA, 1803 nt
Filed under: Zonotrichia albicollis (white-throated sparrow)
Lineage: Eukaryota; Metazoa; Chordata; Aves; Passeriformes; Passerellidae
Description: lncRNA (ENSZALG00000018075.1)
Source: RNAcentral